This 63-nucleotide transfer RNA is filed under the name Acanthephyra smithi. RNAcentral's name for it is "tRNA-Arg". Lineage: Eukaryota; Metazoa; Arthropoda; Malacostraca; Decapoda; Oplophoridae. The record is from RNAcentral.
AACCAGAAAGCGAAGUAUUGCACUUAGUUUCGACCUAAGCCUUGGUGGCCUCACCUCUGAUUA